AAUAAUAAUAAUAAUAUAUAAAUAUUAGGUCACGAAGUAAGUUGAGCUAAAAAAAAAAACGUAGUAGCGUAUUAAUUGUGUGUAGCAUCACACAACUAUUAUUAUUUUUUAGGGGUGAUAUACCUUACACAACUUACGAUAUCUUGAUUUACAAUAAAAAUAUAUAGUAUUUAAUCAACUUAAAAAUGUUUAGGUUUUUAAGAAUUACUAUAUAUAUUAAAUAUAAUGUAAUUUUUUUAACGAAUAUUACCAAAAUUAUAAUACAAUACUUUUUCAUUAACAUGUUUUUUUUACUGUAAUGUUUUUAUAGUUUAAUAUAAAUGUUAAUAAUGUUAUUAUAAGUAUUAAAAUAAUUUUAGUAAAGGAACUCGGCAUUAAUACAUUUCUCAACUGUUUAUCAAAAACAUUGCCUUACGCCGUUAUGUAAGGUUAACCCUGCUCACUGGAUAUCUAAAGAGCCGCAGUACUUUGACUGUGCAAAGGUAGCAUAAUCAUUUGGCUUAUAAUUGAAGUCUGGUAUGAAUGGGAUUAUGGGAAAUUACUGUCUUAUUAAAGUAAUAAAAAUUAUUUAAUAAGUGAAAAACCUUAUAACAAUAAAAAAGACGAGAAGACCCUAGAAAUUUUGUAUAUAUAUUUAAAAUAUUCUAUUUUGUUGGGGCGACAAGGUAACAUUUUAAACUUACUGUGUAUAUGUGAACUUAUUGAAUAGGAAAAAAAAAUUACUCUAGGGAUAACAGCAUAAUACAAUAGAGUUUAUGACCUCGAUGUUGGACUAGGAUAAGUAUUAUUUAGAAGAUAAUACUAUUAGCUCUGUUCGAGCUUUUUACUCCUACAUGAUCUGAGUUCAGACCGG
RNAcentral lists this ribosomal RNA (853 nucleotides) under Hiltrudia kusmici. RNAcentral's name for it is "partial 16S ribosomal RNA". Lineage: Eukaryota; Metazoa; Mollusca; Gastropoda; Stylommatophora; Hygromiidae. The record is from RNAcentral.